This is a long non-coding RNA of Paramisgurnus dabryanus, 2264 nucleotides long. RefSeq lists it as uncharacterized. NCBI's taxonomy places the organism in Eukaryota, Metazoa, Chordata, Actinopteri, Cypriniformes, Cobitidae. The record is from RefSeq and is a predicted model, not a curated record.
UCGUGAGAAUCACCCACCUGUAUUUUUAAUACUUUUGUUCACCAAAACAAUCUUUGCGGCCUGGUAUCACCCACAUGUAUGUGACCCAUCGUGUGCGCGCACUCAUAUGCCAACCACAAUUUCCAUCGAAAUACUAAGUCAUUGUUAAUGUUGUAAGACUUUUGUUGACACUUCUAUCCAAAGCGACUAAUCCAAAAUCUAAUAGAUGGGAUAAAGAACCGGAGACGGUCAAGCAACGCGUUUGAUGUGGCAGCUGGAGAUCGUGAGAAUGAGCCAUGGCUUCAGUCAUUCACUGACUCCCAAACUCAUCAUCACAUCCUCGUCAUCUCCCUCUUCGUGACGGACGGGACCCCCACACUCCGCUCCGGGCUACACAUACAGUGAUGUGACACGGGUGCGCAUCCCGCCGUCAGUCGCGCGGCAAAGUGGCACGCGUGUCAUUCCAACUGACAGAAGCGCUGCACGCACCUCCGUUGCAAAUGCGAGACAUGACUAUGUACUGAUGGAGGCACGUCGAAAACAAGACAGCACAGCAGAAAUAAACACAUCUUGAGCAAUGCGAUCUGAUCUGGAGGAUGGGGGUUGUUUAGAACAGAAUGAGCCAUUGACAUAAGCUUGCUGACGGAUGCUGAUGCUUUCAAUACCUCCGAGACCAAUGAUGAAUUACUGCAGACACACAGCGCUGAGCAUGCAAAUAUGUCCAACAACACUCUGAUAUUGCAGCAGGGGAGGACAAUGUGCUUACAUCUUAAAAAAUACACUCUGCUUUAAUUCCUUUCAUGAUGAUUAAUAAUUCGCCUGAUUAAUGCCUAAUCUACCACAUGUAUAUGAUUUAAAUAUAUUUUAUUUAGGCUAAUACAUAGUAUAGAAAUAGUGUAGAAUAUAUUAAUAUUACACUUUGAUGUGACAGUGAGUGGUAAUGCAUUUGCUUUAAGUUUUUAAAACAACAUAAACAUCAUACUUUUUAAACCAUUUUAAAAGGUAUUCAGGAUAGGCAAGAGUAUAGCUGUAUCCUGAAACACAUCACAGUCCCAGACAGCAAACGACUCUGGGCUGGAUCCACAAUGAAACGGAUGACUUCGGCACGGAUCCGGCCCGGAGUUGUCUGCUGUCUGUGUGUCAUCAAAAUAUAUAAUGAAACAAGUAGUGACUAUUGGUAAACAGUAUGUGGUUGUUUCCUGGACAGGGCUUAGGUCUAGUCCCAGACUGUACUGCAUGUUUGAACUGGCUUAAGUGUACAAACUUGCACUGGCAUAACUUGAAAUAUGUCAGUGCCAUUGUUUUGUCUCAAGAUGCACACCAGUAAUGUUUUUUGUAAGGUUUAUUUAUAUGAACCACUUAAAUGUCCUAAUAUAACUAAGGUCUACUCCGGGAUUAAUCUAAACCCUGUCCAGGAAACUGCCCCUAUAAAUAGUAAAGUAUCAGUGUGUAUAAAAUUUUAUUUUUAAUAUGAUAUAUAAAUUAGGCUUUGUAAAGGAGUUGUUAGAGUAAAUCAAAUGGUAAUGGGGAAGAGAUCAAAGUUUGGCUUAUGCAACAGCGCAAAAAAAUUGUACCUGAGCCUUUGUGGUCCAUGUAUGUUUGUUCUGUUUUCCAGAUGGCAGUGUAAAAAACAGACAGAUGGGGUGGAUGGAGUCCCUGAUGAUCUGAAGAGCUGUUGGUGAGCAUCAGUGGCUGUUUACGAUGACUGUCCCGCGAUUCAAUGGGCAAUUUUGACUACUUGCUGAAGGGCUUUCCGGUCUGAGGAUGUACAGCUGUCAUGAGAUAGAGCAGCUAUCAAAAGAAACACAGGACAGGCCCACCUGAAGAUAGAGUCGAUGUGUCCCAGACGUCAUGUCUUCUGUCAGACGUGUAAGCUUGGAGACAGGAAUGGCAUGGCCGGUGAAGCCCCAGUGAACAGGAGGGGUCAUCCUUCAGCUCCUAGACAGGUUGAAAGACAGCCACAUGGCACACAUCUCUAAAUGACAGCAUGUCACUGGCAGGAGAUCCACCAUACGGCACUGUCACCUCUCACCUGACUGAACUCGGCCCUCACUGAGGGGAAACUUGCGUCACUGUCAAACUAAUAGUGGUUAAAGGUGAAACAUUUCCAUUUUUUCCAUAAGCCCAUCUGUACAUUUAUAUUUUAAGAUCAAGACUUAAUUAUCUAUUCAGAGCUGCCCAUGACCAUGUCUCUGCUGUCAUGGAGAGGAAGCUGGGGUUAUGAAUGUGGAUUACUGGAAAUGUGAAUGCGAUGUGGUAAUUUCUUGUCUAAUAAAAAGUCUUGU